Molecule: ribosomal RNA, 590 nt
Filed under: uncultured Burkholderia sp.
Lineage: Bacteria; Pseudomonadati; Pseudomonadota; Betaproteobacteria; Burkholderiales; Burkholderiaceae
Description: bacterial SSU rRNA
Rfam family: Bacterial small subunit ribosomal RNA
Source: RNAcentral
UCGGGUUGUAAAGCACUUUUGUCCGGAAAGAAAACCUCAGCCCGAAUACGGCGGGGGGAUGACGGUACCGGAAGAAUAAGCACCGGCUAACUACGUGCCAGCAGCGCGGUAAUCGUAGGGUGCGAGCGUUAAUCGGAAUUACUGGGCGUAAAGCGUGCGCAGGCGGUUCGCUAAGACCGAUGUGAAAUCCCCGGGCUUAACCUGGGAACUGCAUUGGUGACUGGCGGGCUGGAGUAUGGCAGAGGGGGGUAGAAUUCCACGUGUAGCAGUGAAAUGCGUAGAGAUGUGGAGGAAUACCGAUGGCGAAGGCAGCCCCCUGGGCCAAUACUGACGCUCAUGCACGAAAGCGUGGGGAGCAAACAGGAUUAGAUACCCUGGUAGUCCACGCCCUAAACGAUGUCAACUGGUUGUCGGGUCUUCAUUGACUUGGUAACGUAGCUAACGCGUGAAGUUGACCGCCUGGGGAGUACGGUCGCAAGAUUAAAACUCAAAGGAAUUGACGGGGACCCGCACAAGCGGUGGAUGAUGUGGAUUAAUUCGAUGCAACGCGAAAAACCUUACCUACCCUUGACAUGUACGGAACCUGGCCG